GACGAACGCUGGCGGCGUGCUUAACACAUGCAAGUCGAACGGAAAGGCCCUGCUUUUGUGGGGUGCUCGAGUGGCGAACGGGUGAGUAACACGUGAGUAACCUGCCCUUGACUUUGGGAUAACUUCAGGAAACUGGGGCUAAUACCGGAUAGGAGCUCCUGCUGCAUGGUGGGGGUUGGAAAGUUUCGGCGGUUGGGGAUGGACUCGCGGCUUAUCAGCUUGUUGGUGGGGUAGUGGCUUACCAAGGCUUUGGCGGGUAGCCGGCCUGAGAGGGUGACCGGCCACAUUGGGACUGAGAUACGGCCCAGACUCCUACGGGAGGCAGCAGUGGGGAAUAUUGCACAAUGGGCGGAAGCCUGAUGCAGCAACGCCGCGUGCGGGAUGACGGCCUUCGGGUUGUAAACCGCUUUCGCCUGUGACGAAGCGUGAGUGACGGUAAUGGGUGAAGAAGCACCGGCUAACUACGUG
Molecule: ribosomal RNA, 468 nt
Filed under: uncultured bacterium
Lineage: Bacteria
Description: partial 16S ribosomal RNA
Rfam family: Bacterial small subunit ribosomal RNA
Source: RNAcentral